RNAcentral lists this ribosomal RNA (402 nucleotides) under uncultured bacterium. RNAcentral describes it as "bacterial SSU rRNA". It matches the Rfam family "Bacterial small subunit ribosomal RNA", at positions 355 to 749 of the family's 1533-position model. The record is from RNAcentral.
UGGGGAAUAUUGCGCAAUGGGGGAAACCCCGACGCAGCGACGCCGUGUGAGGGAAGAAGGCCUUCGGGCCGUAAACCUCUGUCGGGAGGGAAGAACCGCCGGUUUCCGAACAGGGAGCCGGUCUGACGGUACCUCCGAAGGAAGCGCCGGCUAACUCCGUGCCAGCAGCCGCGGUAAUACGGAGGGCGCGAGCGUUAAUCGGAAUCACUGGGCGUAAAGCGCGCGUAGGCGGCUUGAUAAGUCGGGCGUGAAAGCCCUCGGCCCAACCGAGGAACUGCGUUCGAUACUGUUAGGCUUGAGUCCUGGAGGGGUGCGGAAUUCCGGGGUGUAGGAGUGAAAUCCGUAGAUAUCCGGAGGAACACCGGUGGCGAAGGCGGCCACCUGGACAGGUACUGACGCUGA